Small nuclear RNA from Erinaceus europaeus (western European hedgehog), 107 nucleotides. Lineage: Eukaryota; Metazoa; Chordata; Mammalia; Eulipotyphla; Erinaceidae. The record is from Ensembl.
GUGCUCUCUUCAGAAGCACAUAUACUAAAAUUGAAAAGAUACAGAGAAGAUUAGCACGGCCCCUGUGCAAGGAUGACACACAAAUUCAUGUAUGGGUCCAUAUUAAG